This 71-nucleotide transfer RNA is filed under the name Loxodonta africana (African savanna elephant). It matches the Rfam family "tRNA". From Rfam's summary of the family: Transfer RNA (tRNA) molecules are approximately 80 nucleotides in length. The record is from Rfam by way of RNAcentral. Lineage: Eukaryota; Metazoa; Chordata; Mammalia; Proboscidea; Elephantidae.
GCAGUGGUGGUUCAGUGGUAGAAUUCUGACCUUCUAAGUGGGAGACUUGGGUUCCAUUCCCUGCCAAUGCC